RNAcentral lists this ribosomal RNA (253 nucleotides) under uncultured bacterium. RNAcentral describes it as "partial 16S ribosomal RNA". It matches the Rfam family "Bacterial small subunit ribosomal RNA", at positions 524 to 776 of the family's 1533-position model. The record is from RNAcentral.
UACAGAGGGUGCAAGCGUUAAUCGGAAUUACUGGGCGUAAAGCGCGCGUAGUCGGUUAUUUAAGUCGGAUGUGAAAUCCCCGGGCUCAACCUGGGAAUUGCAUUCGAUACUGGAUAGCUAGAGUUCGGCAGAGGGAAGCGGAAUUUCUGGUGUAGCGGUGAAAUGCGUAGAUAUCAGAAGGAACAUCAGUGGCGAAAGCGGCUUCAUGGACCAGAACUGACGAUCAGGCUCGAAAGCGUGGGGAGCAAACAGG